This 1489-nucleotide ribosomal RNA is filed under the name metagenome. RNAcentral's name for it is "bacterial SSU rRNA". It matches the Rfam family "Bacterial small subunit ribosomal RNA". The record is from RNAcentral.
AGAGUUUGAUCAUGGCUCAGGACGAACGCUGGCGGCGUGCCUAACACAUGCAAGUCGAACGAAGCACUGUGGAUAGAGACUUCGGUCAAUUGAAACUUUGACUUAGUGGCGGACGGGUGAGUAACGCGUGAGGAACCUGCCUUUCAGAGGGGGACAACAGUUGGAAACGACUGCUAAUACCGCAUGACACAGCGAGAUCGCAUGGUCUUGCUGUCAAAGAUUUAUCGCUGAAAGAUGGCCUCGCGUCUGAUUAGAUAGUUGGUGAGGUAACGGCCCACCAAGUCGACGAUCAGUAGCCGGACUGAGAGGUUGAACGGCCACAUUGGGACUGAGAUACGGCCCAGACUCCUACGGGAGGCAGCAGUGGGGAAUAUUGGGCAAUGGGGGAAACCCUGACCCAGCAACGCCGCGUGAAGGAAGAAGGCUUUCGGGUUGUAAACUUCUUUUACCAGGGACGAAGAACGUGACGGUACCUGGAGAAAAAGCCACGGCUAACUACGUGCCAGCAGCCGCGGUAAUACGUAGGUGGCAAGCGUUGUCCGGAUUUACUGGGUGUAAAGGGCGUGUAGGCGGGAGAGCAAGUCAGAAGUGAAAUCUAUGGGCUUAACCCAUAAACUGCUUUUGAAACUGUUCUUCUUGAGUAUCGGAGAGGCAGGCGGAAUUCCUGGUGUAGCGGUGAAAUGCGUAGAUAUUAGGAGGAACACCAGUGGCGAAGGCGGCCUGCUGGACGACAACUGACGCUGAGGCGCGAAAGCGUGGGGAGCAAACAGGAUUAGAUACCCUGGUAGUCCACGCUGUAAACGAUGAAUACUAGGUGUGGGGGGACUGACCCCUUCCGUGCCGCAGUUAACACAAUAAGUAUUCCACCUGGGGAGUACGAUCGCAAGAUUGAAACUCAAAGGAAUUGACGGGGGCCCGCACAAGCAGUGGAUUAUGUGGUUUAAUUCGACGCAACGCGAAGAACCUUACCGGGAUUUGACAUCCUACUAACGAAGUAGAGAUACAUUAGGUGCCCUUCGGGGAAAGUAGAGACAGGUGGUGCAUGGUUGUCGUCAGCUCGUGUCGUGAGAUGUCGGGUUAAGUCCCGCAACGAGCGCAACCCUUAUUGUUAGUUGCUACGCAAGAGCACUCUAGCGAGACUGCCGUUGACAAAACGGAGGAAGGCGGGGACGACGUCAAAUCAUCAUGCCCCUUAUGUCCCGGGCUACACACGUAAUACAAUGGCGGAUAACAAAGGGAAGCAAAGCCGCGAGGUGGAGCAAAUCCCCAAAACUCGUCUCAGUUCGGAUUGCAGGCUGCAACUCGCCUGCAUGAAGUUGGAAUUGCUAGUAAUCGUAGAUCAGCAUGCUACGGUGAAUACGUUCCCGGGCCUUGUACACACCGCCCGUCACACCAUGAGAGUCGGGAACACCCGGAGUCCGUAGUCUAACCGCAAGGAGGGCGCGGCCGAAGGUGGGUCUGAUAAUUGGGGUGAAGUCGUAACAAGGUA